RNAcentral lists this long non-coding RNA (1109 nucleotides) under Glycine max (soybean). Its description in RNAcentral is "long non-coding RNA (GMAX_LNC001615)". The record is from RNAcentral. Lineage: Eukaryota; Viridiplantae; Streptophyta; Magnoliopsida; Fabales; Fabaceae.
UGAUCAUAAUCCCAAAACUGUAGGCAUCCAUAACAACUUUACGCUUGAAUUCAUUAAAUACCCACCAAGCUAUAUCGAAACAAUUUGACCUAAUGAGUAAGGACAAAAGAUUAUUGAAGGUGUUUGUUACAUGCAGCGCUUGUUUACUGACUUCGAGGGUCAGCACCUCCAGAAAUAAAGAGGUAGAAGGAGAAGAUAAGCUGGUUUCGAGGGUGCCAGUGCCUCUAGAGGAAAAGGGAGAAAGGAAGCUUUGCUAUUUUCAUUCAUAUCCCCAGCAAGUGCCAUUACAACGGAUUAUAUAGCUACGAAGGGGACAAGGGCCCGACAAGCACUAACAGAAAAGAUAAAUACAAAUCACAAUAUCCUGACAGCAAAUAUUCUGUUAUUACACUACACAUCUUCGAGAAGAUACGGUGCUAGCCUAAGGUUUGCUGGUUUGCGCUUUCUAUGUACUGAUGCAUGAAUGCAUGGGUCACAGCUAACCAUAUUGGGCUGAGGUUGUUGCCUUCCGUUUUGGCCUUAUACUUCUUGCUUCUUGUAGAUCCUUUGCUUCCUGCAGUACUAUCCCUAUCAGUGUUUGAUCUAGGAACAUGACCCCAGUGAAUCAUGUGGUGUAGAAAAGUGAGGGAAUGAACAUAAGCAUUGAAAAUUGCUUCAUAGAGAGGAGUGUUGUAGGUUGAACAAGAGGUGAAAUGGGGGUUGUAUUAGUUGAAGCAUUAAAGAGGAGGGUGAGAUCAUAGAUGAGGGGAUUCGACCAGAGAUUAGGCGUAGGAUGAGAGAUUGAGCUUGGAGUAGCAUGUCAGAGGAAAGGAGAAGGUUUAAGAUGAAGGAGAUGGAGUGGGGAGUGUGGUGAAGGCCUUGAUAGGUUGCGGUGUUGAACAACAAGAGUGCUUUUGGUGGAGGCACUUUCACCAUCUUUUGGAUGAGAAUCAGUGCUUCGUGCGACUGUGACAUGCUUCUUCUCUGACCCCUCCGACAUCUGAAAAUCAGCUUCAGAGGAAAUGCCAAAUUGGUGACUUCUUGUGUGGCGGUGGCAUCAACAUAUGGAGCCACACGUCAAAACCUUAACUAGCCCCCCAUUAUGAGAAUAUUUCAUGUUCCAAAAUUAC